CCUACGGGAGGCUGCAGUAGGGAAUCUUUCACAAUGGGCGAAAGCCUGAUGGAGCAACGCCGCGUGCAGGAUGAAGGCCUUCGGGUUGUAAACUGCUUUUAUAAGCGAGAAAUAUGAUGGUAAGUGAUGAAUAAUGAUCGGCUAACUACGUGCCAGCGGCCGCGGUCAUACGUAGGAUCCGAGCAUUAUCCGGAGUGUCUGGGUGUAAAGAGUUGCGUAGGUGGCAUAAUAAGUAGCUAGUGAAAACUGGUGGCUCAACCCUUCAGUCUAUUGGCUAAACUGUUAAGCUCGAGACCGUGAGGAGUAGCUGGAAUUUGUAGUGUAGGGGUGAAAUCCGUAGAUAUUAGAAAGAACACCGAUAGCGUAGGCAGGUUGCUGAGACGGUUCUGACACUGAGGCACGAAAGCGUAGGGAGCGAACGGGAUUAGAUACCCUUGUAGUC
This 442-nucleotide ribosomal RNA is filed under the name uncultured bacterium. RNAcentral's name for it is "partial 16S ribosomal RNA". It matches the Rfam family "Bacterial small subunit ribosomal RNA", at positions 338 to 795 of the family's 1533-position model. The record is from RNAcentral.